GAAGUGCGAUAAGCAGUGCGAAUUGCAGAAUUCCGCGAAUCAUCAGAUUUUUGAACGCAAGUUGCGCCGAGUAGUUCGCUAUUCGGCAUGCUUGUUUCAGUGUCGUAACAAUAACACAUCUUAAUGUGAUUGAUAUCUCUACUACUAUGACUUUGUCAUAAUGGUGUAGACAUCUCUCAUGAAAUAAGAAUGUAUAUGUACUAAUACACAAUGAAGUAGUCACAAGUACUUAUGUAUGUGUGAUCUCAUUGUUGUUAUUAGUAAUGAAAUAUACAUAUGAUAUAUACUACAUCUUAUCAAAUGGCAUCUGAAAUCAAGCAAGAUUACCCGCUGAACUUAA
Molecule: unclassified non-coding RNA, 340 nt
Filed under: uncultured fungus
Lineage: Eukaryota; Fungi
Description: sequence contains ITS1
Rfam family: 5.8S ribosomal RNA (bases 1-105)
Source: RNAcentral